GUGUGUGUGUGUGUGUGGUCAUCUGUAAAGGUUAUGGAGUCUGAGUCCAUAGGUGCCAUGCUCACUAUAUCUAUACAUAGAUGAGAUAGAUAGAUAGAGAUCUAUCUCCUUUCCUCUACUUCCUCUGUCUCCCAUACCAAUUUUUUUGUUCAGCUUCCUCAUCUACAACUGUACAGUCACUUAUCCUCAGAAUCUUGAGUUCUUUGGCACACUGGGAACCUUGUGAGAAAGAGUGGCUGGAAGAGAGAACUCCACUAACUCCAUACCUGACCUGGAGACACACAGGAGUUUACAGGGUACAGUACGGUUAUGGCUUAGAAGUGGAGAGCUUUGAUGUUUCAAACAAGGGGUCACCAGAGAUCAGAACUACAAGAGGGGCUGGUUAUGGCUGAUGUGAUAAAGCCAAGGUGGCAGUAUCUUUAAAUGACACCAUCCAGGAAAGAAAGACAUCUACAGUGUGCGGCUGGAGAGCAACUGUAAACACUGUCCUCCUCCAAGCAUCCAGCCCAGGGCCUGUUAUUCAGUCAACACUCGUGGAAAACCAAUGGAAUAAACAGUUGAGAAGAACAAUGUAUGCUAAGCAGUUUGCUCUCUUGGCACUGGGAUCCUUUGCAGGACUUGGAGCAGAGGACUGAAGUGAUCAGAUUGUGCUGCCAUGACUGUAGGUAUAAAAUUUCUUUACAAAUAUGGAGUGCUAUAGAAGUGCAAAAACAUCUUCAAGAGAAAUAAGAUUCUAUGACUGAAGACACCAUAUCCUUGAAUGCAAGACGUAGAAAAGUCAAGCUGAAGCUGAGCUGUACGUCUCCCAGUGGCUGGCUGGCUUCCAUAGUGCCAGAUGAGGCUGGGCAGGCCACUGGGGGACAAAGGCACUAGUGGUCUUAGCCUCUGUGAACUCUACAAACUAUAAUGCAUCUGCCAGGCAAGAUGUGCCCAUUGCUGAGACAGUGGCACAGCUGUUAGGGGGUAACCAACUACCUCCAUAACCGGAUAUGAGGCCCCCUCAGGAGAGGAUCCAUACUCAGUAAUUAGUUUUUCUAAUCACUAUCUCUACUAUCUGUGUGGAACUCUUUCCCAAAAUUCAUUUCAGGAGUUUAAUGACCCUUCCUCUCCUUUUUUCAGAUCCCUCAUUGAUUCUAGACGCAGAACCCCCUUUUCCUUUCUUUUCCUUCAUUCAUUUCAGCUGCUGAACUUCCCCCCUUCCUUUCUACUCCCAGAUGGUCAGACAAGACCAAAUCCUGUGACUUGAAGUUCUCCGAAGAAGUAAAAUCCACAUUGAAGGUCCCUCAGACUGACCUUGGCUGAUAGAACACUGUGAUUAUGGAGAGAGGGAAUGUUACAGAUCAGGAGCUAAUGUUGGCAUCUCAAGAUGCUGGUAUAGACACAGAACUCUCCCGAGGAUGAAUUUGGUAUGUAAUUUCAGAAAGAGAUGAGAAAUAUGGAAAGGCAAGUAAGGGCUGUAGUAGUAAACAGCAUCAACAAGAAACUAGAUACAAUAAAAAUAGUGACUAUCAGAUUCAUAAAGGAAACUACAGACCCAGACUUAGAGUCCUGAGCAAAGUGGUUGGGGAA
Peromyscus eremicus (cactus mouse) is the source of this 1569-nucleotide long non-coding RNA. RefSeq lists it as uncharacterized. The transcript has 4 exons. Lineage: Eukaryota; Metazoa; Chordata; Mammalia; Rodentia; Cricetidae. The record is from RefSeq and is a predicted model, not a curated record.